UGGGGAAUUUUGGACAAUGGGCGCAAGCCUGAUCCAGCAAUGCCGCGUGCAGGAUGAAGGCCUUCGGGUUGUAAACUGCUUUUGUACGGAGCGAAAAGGUCUGCCCUAAUACGGUGGGCUCAUGACGGUACCGUAAGAAUAAGCACCGGCUAACUACGUGCCAGCAGCCGCGGUAAUACGUAGGGUGCGAGCGUUAAUCGGAAUUACUGGGCGUAAAGCGUGCGCAGGCGGUUAUAUAAGACAGAGGUGAAAUCCCCGGGCUCAACCUGGGACCUGCAUUUGUGACUGUAUAGCUAGAGUACGGUAGAGGAGGAUGGAAUUCCGCGUGUAGCAGUGAAAUGCGUCGAUAUGCGGAGGAACACCGAUGGCGAAGGCAAUCCCCUGGACCUGUACUGACGCUCAUGCACGAAAGCGUGGGGAGCAAACA
RNAcentral lists this ribosomal RNA (427 nucleotides) under uncultured bacterium. RNAcentral's name for it is "bacterial SSU rRNA". It matches the Rfam family "Bacterial small subunit ribosomal RNA", at positions 355 to 774 of the family's 1533-position model. The record is from RNAcentral.